Long non-coding RNA from Hyaena hyaena (striped hyena), 1076 nucleotides. RefSeq lists it as uncharacterized. The transcript is spliced from 4 exons. Lineage: Eukaryota; Metazoa; Chordata; Mammalia; Carnivora; Hyaenidae. The record is from RefSeq and is a predicted model, not a curated record.
UUCACUGGGUGCGUUUAGACCUGUUCAUAUUGCUCAGCUGUGUCUGAAUCAUACUGGGAUGUCUGUUUUCCAAGUUGUGUCUUUUUAACCUGUAGUGUCUUUAUAAGUCUUAGUUCUGUCUGCCGCAGUCUUGGAUCUAUCCCGAACUCCCUGCGUGUGUACACUGAUCUGUGACGUCUCGCCUCUUCUGGGAUGUAUCCGUAUUCCCCAGAUGUGUCCAGUCUUACCUGGGAUUGCCCUGUCCAGGUGUGUCUACUGUGAACAUGGAUCUCUCCCUCUUCCAGGUGUGACUGUCCUGACCUUUGGCGUCCUCCUAAUUCCUCAGAUGCAUUCACGAAUUCCUCAGGUGUUUCAACACUGAUCUACUAUCACUCCACAGAUCUCCAGGUCACAAACUUCAGCCUUUGUGUUUGGUUAUUGGAAGAUUAUUGUUGCCUUUCAGUGAUGAUGUAUUCCUGGAUUCUUCAUGUUCCUUGGACUUUGGCGUUGCCCUUCUGGCGUACAGAGUGGCGGACACAGCGUGUCUUUGUGAUUCCCUUCGGGUAAGAGAUGCUCUUAGCUGAUCCUGUUGGAUCUGGGCUUGCUCAGUCCUUGUGUACAUACCCCUGCUCCUUGCUUCCUGUCUUGUGGCAGAAUUCUUGAGCUUGUAUGUCUUCUCUGGUCAUAGGACUCACCUCGUUUCCUGGAAGGUGGUCCUGCAGACACCCGUGUGGUGCCUCCUCCACCACAGGGGGCAGCGCUGGGGAGGUGUGGGCUCAGGGCUCUAGGUGUUGGGGGGCCUCAGGAAAGGUUCUUCCAGAAGCUCAUGAUGGACUUGAAUGGCGAUCUUCUCACCUGCCUGUGUCCCUGGAGUCAUGGCCGUCCCUCAGUGCUCCAGGUGCUGCUGGAGGAGUUGGGGUCUCCUGCAGCCCCCAUAUGGAGCAGGUCAGCGUACACACACCACUCUCCCCACCCCCAGUCAGGGGCUCCCGCUGGUGGGGCCUGAACACAAGGCAGGAGGCCGGGAGCCACGCCCACACGGCCCGCAGGUCAAGGCGGGGAGGGAACAGGGUGGACACGCUAGAGUGUGGAUCAGG